GGUGAACGCUGGCGGCGUGCCUAAGACAUGCAAGUCGAGCGGGGCAGGUUUAUACCUGUUCAGCGGCGGACGGGUGAGUAACGCGUGGGUGACCUACCCGGAAGAGGCGGACAACCUGGGGAAACCCAGGCUAAUCCGCCAUGUGGUCCUGUCCUGUGGGGCAGGACUAAAGGGGCGACCCGCUUCCGGAUGGGCCCGCGUCCCAUCAGCUAGUUGGUGGGGUAAAGGCCCACCAAGGCGACGACGGGUAGCCGGUCUGAGAGGAUGGCCGGCCACAGGGGCACUGAGACACGGGGCCCACUCCUACGGGAGGCAGCAGUUAGGAAUCUUCCGCAAUGGACGGAAGUCUGACGGAGCGACGCCGCUUGGAGGAGGAAGCCCUUCGGGGUGUAAACUCCUGAACUGGGGACGAAAGCCCCGUGUAGGGGGAUGACGGUACCCAGGUAAUAGCGCCGGCCAACUCCGUG
RNAcentral lists this ribosomal RNA (467 nucleotides) under uncultured bacterium. Its description in RNAcentral is "partial 16S ribosomal RNA". It matches the Rfam family "Bacterial small subunit ribosomal RNA", at positions 28 to 507 of the family's 1533-position model. The record is from RNAcentral.